GCGACGCCGUCUACGUUGCGUUGCCGUCUGCUGGGCAAGCCGUCCGUACCGACACGGGACGACAAGAGACGAGAGGA
RNAcentral lists this non-coding RNA (77 nucleotides) under bovine gut metagenome. RNAcentral describes it as "aspS RNA". It matches the Rfam family "aspS RNA". The record is from RNAcentral.